Molecule: long non-coding RNA, 2370 nt
Filed under: Olea europaea subsp. europaea
Lineage: Eukaryota; Viridiplantae; Streptophyta; Magnoliopsida; Lamiales; Oleaceae
Source: RNAcentral
AUUUGAUUCCACUAAAAAAAUAGAAUCUAAACCACAAGUGCCCUCGAAAUCCACAUGUCCGCUUGUUUUUUCCCAUAAAAAAUCACAACAGCAGCCAUCUGAGAAAUCACAUUGAAAGUCAUCAGCCUUGGCAGAGAAAUAUACAAUUUGGGGUGUGUGUUCAAGUGUGGAGAAAAGAAGAUUCAUGGGGAGAGUUGACAUCUGGCAAGGCAUCCAAUGUUGAUUAAUCAAGAAAUCCUCAGAAAAGAUUAUGUGAGUCAGCCAGAAAAUUUGAACUUUCAACCCAUAAGUUAAGUUAUCCUAAAAGCUUGUAUAGGAUUGGAUGGAUUGAUUCGUUGGUAAAUCAAGCUACUUGUUUCUGAUUUUCCACAAACAGUUAAAAAUGUCUGAGACGAGAUUUGACAUUGUCACCGUUGACAUUGAUGAUAUGAUGCUUAAGAGCUUGUCCUCGACGCCUUCAAAACCCUCAAUAUUUAGAGUUGGUGAUCAUUUACGCAGCAUAAAUCCAGAGGCUUACGAUCCAGAAAUAAUAGCCAUUGGCCCAUAUCACCGCGGGAAACGUAACUUGCAGAAGAUGGAGCAACACAAAGUCAGAUAUCUAAAGCUGUUUCUUGAAAGAAGAAAUGAGUCAAGUGUAGAAAGAUAUGUUACCACAAUAAGACACUUAGAAGACAUGGCGCGGAAAUGUUAUGCUGAAGACAUCCAACUUGAUGAAGAUGAGUUUGUGCAAAUGUUGAUUCUUGAUGGCUGUUUUAUCAUCGAAUUUCUCCAUAAGUUUCAACAAAUAGAAUGUAGGGAUGAAGAUGACCCCAUUUUCCAGUAUGGAUAUAUGCAAAGUCAUUUGCUUCAUGAUCUAAUGGUAUUUGAGAAUCAGAUUCCAUUUUUCAUCAUUGAUCGUUUGUUCAACAUAAUCAAGAUCAACGAUGAAGACAACAUCAAUUCUCUAAUACUGCCUUUACUAGGAAAUGGCAUUUUCCCAGUGCAAGAUCUUCCUGAAGUCCCUAUUAAUGGUCACCAUCUUCUUGGUAUUGUACAUGACAUCCAGUGUUCAUCAUUUGCAUCAAUAUUAUCUCAUAUGGAUUCUGGAGAUCCUGAUAACGUGGCGAAUAUAAAUUCAGCUGUAGAGAUCAAAGAAGCAGGGAUUUCCUUCAAAAAGUCGGAAUGUAAUAGUUUGUUUCACAUUGAAUUCAAAAAUAAAACAACGAUCAUUCCAGAAUGGGAAAUUUCUGAUUCAACAGAAUCGUUGUUCCGAAAUCUGAUGGCAUAUGAGUACUACCUCCCAGGCAGUCCUCAAAAAUAUGUGACGGACUAUGUAUUCUUUAUGCAUUGUCUCGUCCAUUCCCCAGAUGAUGCAAAAUUGUUGCGCUGUUAUGGAAUCAUUAGCAACUUUUUGGGGAGCGAUAAAAUGGUUUAUCUUCUAAUCAACCAGCUAGGGAAGAAUAUCAUAAUAUCUGAUAAGUUUUCGUAUUCUAAUAUUUUCAACGUUGUGAACCAUCAUUGUCGCCGCAUAUGGAAUAUAAGGAUGGCAACAUUGAGGCGAAGAUAUCUUAACAGUCCAUGGGCACUCAUUUCAGUCUUUGCUGCCACUUUCUUGCUUACGCUUGCCAUUCUACAGACUACUUUUCCUAUUCUCUCAUACCGUAAGUUACUCCCCAAGUAUUGCAUAUUUUAACCUUUGUUUGGAAAAUGUAUAAAUGGUUUACAAAUAGGAAUAUUAACGGGUCCCACAAAAUAUAUGGGUGAUAAUGAGUAUAGUUUUGAAUGUAUGGUCGGAAUUAAUAUUUGACUUUGACCGAAUCUUAUAAAUUGUAUCCAAAUAGAGGCUUAUUGUAGAAAAACUCGUCAAGUAUGCUACUAGAAAUUGAUCUUGGAUUGUUUCGUUAAAAAGGAAUUAAUGUUUAACUUUGACCGAAUCUUAUAAAUUGUAUCCAAAUAGAGGCUUAUUGUAGAAAAACUCGUCAAGUAUGCUAUUGAAAAUUGAUCUUGGAUUGUUUCGUUAAAAAGGAAGCUUCUCCCUUUCUUUGAAAUGCAUUACUGAUACAUCUGUUGUGUGACAAUCAUGUGAACUACUAAGAGAAAUUUAUAUUUGAUUAUCGAAUUGUUUAAAUGCAUACAUGUUAUUGCAGGCAAUGAUCUCAACAAGGGGAAUUGAUUCUUAAUUUUUGAAGCUGGCAACAAUGUAUGGGAACUCAAACUACUAACUUCAAGGACAAUACAGAGCCUACUGGGUCUAUCUUGGUGUAAGAAGCAAUUCUGAACAAGGUUUCUAAUUAGUUGUUGUUAGUAGAUCUUGAUUGUUUGUCUUUAUUCUUUAUUUUUUUUUUCCUUAUUCUUCACAAAAAAUGAGUUUGCAUUCUCAGUUGUUUUAUA